RNAcentral lists this ribosomal RNA (465 nucleotides) under uncultured bacterium. Its description in RNAcentral is "bacterial SSU rRNA". It matches the Rfam family "Bacterial small subunit ribosomal RNA", at positions 926 to 1391 of the family's 1533-position model. The record is from RNAcentral.
CAAGCGGUGGAGCAUGUGGUUUAAUUCGAUGCAACGCGAAGAACCUUACCUACUCUUGACAUCCAGCGAACUUAGCAGAGAUGCUUUGGUGCCUUCGGGAACGCUGAGACAGGUGCUGCAUGGCUGUCGUCAGCUCGUGUUGUGAAAUGUUGGGUUAAGUCCCGCAACGAGCGCAACCCUUAUCCUUUGUUGCCAGCGAUUCGGUCGGGAACUCAAAGGAGACUGCCGGUGAUAAACCGGAGGAAGGUGGGGAUGACGUCAAGUCAUCAUGGCCCUUACGAGUAGGGCUACACACGUGCUACAAUGGCGCAUACAAAGAGAAGCGACCUCGCGAGAGCAAGCGGACCUCACAAAGUGCGUCGUAGUCCGGAUCGGAGUCUGCAACUCGACUCCGUGAAGUCGGAAUCGCUAGUAAUCGUGGAUCAGAAUGCCACGGUGAAUACGUUCCCGGGCCUUGUACACACC